AGAAUCAACGCUGGCGGCGCGCCUAACACAUGCAAGUCGAACGAGAAAGUGGAGCAAUCCAUGAGUAAAGUGGCGACCGGGUGAGUAACACGUGACUAACCUACCCUAGAGUGGGGAAUAACUUCGGGAAACCGAGGCUAAUACCGCAUAACAUCGCAGAGGGAAGCUCUUUGCGAUCAAAGGAGCAAUUCGCUCAAGGAGGGGGUCGCGGCUGAUUAGUUAGUUGGUGAGGUAACGGCUCACCAAGACAAAGAUCAGUAUCCGGCCUGAGAGGGCGCACGGACACACUGGAACUGAAACACGGUCCAGACUCCUACGGGAGGCAGCAGUGGGGAAUUUUGCGCAAUGGGGGAAACCCUGACGCAGCAACGCCGCGUGGAGGAUGAAGUCCCUUGGGAUGUAAACUCCUUUCGAUCGGGACGAUUAUGACGGUACCGGAAGAAGAAGCACCGGCUAACUCUGUGCCAGCAGCCGCGGUAA
RNAcentral lists this ribosomal RNA (480 nucleotides) under uncultured bacterium. Its description in RNAcentral is "SSU rRNA". It matches the Rfam family "Bacterial small subunit ribosomal RNA", at positions 26 to 523 of the family's 1533-position model. The record is from RNAcentral.